GAUGAACGCUGGCGGCGUGCCUAAUACAUGCAAGUCGAGCGAACAGACGAGGAGCUUGCUCCUCUGACGUUAGCGGCGGACGGGUGAGUAACACGUGGAUAACCUACCUAUAAGACUGGGAUAACUUCGGGAAACCGGAGCUAAUACCGGAUAAUAUAUUGAACCGCAUGGUUCAAUAGUGAAAGACGGUUUUGCUGUCACUUAUAGAUGGAUCCGCGCCGCAUUAGCUAGUUGGUAAGGUAACGGCUUACCAAGGCAACGAUGCGUUGCCGACCUGAGAGGGUGAUCGGCCACACUGGAACUGAGACACGGUCCAGACUCCUACGGGAGGCAGCAGUAGGGAAUCUUCCGCAAUGGGCGAAAGCCUGACGGAGCAACGCCGCGUGAGUGAUGAAGGUCUUCGGAUCGUAAAACUCUGUUAUUAGGGAAGAACAAAUGUGUAAGUAACUAUGUACGUCUUGACGGUACCUAAUCAGAAAGCCACGGCUAACUACGUG
Molecule: ribosomal RNA, 497 nt
Filed under: uncultured bacterium
Lineage: Bacteria
Description: partial 16S ribosomal RNA
Rfam family: Bacterial small subunit ribosomal RNA
Source: RNAcentral